GGGCGGCGGCCAAGAGGAGCUACCCCGCAUCAGAGGUAAGGAGCAGCGACUGCGCUUUGCUGGAGCAGCUGUGAAGAGAGACCCCAUGUCCACGGUGGUUGCAAGUGACAGUAAGUUCCAUCUGGAAACAAGAAAUCCAAUCAGUAUGUCAAACAUUUGGAAAGAGGGCAAGGUACAUAUCCAUCCUGCAAAGCUGAUUUGGGGCAAUUAGGAAUAGAGAGCAGAAUAUAUGGAAAUCAACCAUCUUUAUAGCAGGACACUUGGAUCAAUUUCCAGAUAUACAAGAUUUAAAUGACUAAAGUCUCCAACUUACAACCUAAAAAGGUAUACAGUUUCCAGUCUCAUUUCUCUGGCCCUGAGAGCUAGUGUUGCAAAUCUACUUAGCACCCCAAGCUAUUCCAGAACACAUGGCUACCUGUUAAAUUUUAGACUCCAAAGCAAGAACAUUCAGAUCUUUCCCUUGGCCAAUUGCUUUGUGACCCUAUGCACUGUAGCCAGCCAGGGUAUUCUGUCCAUGGGAUUUUCGAGAGGGCACUCAACAUACACUGGUGUCUUUCUUCCUCACUCACUUGUUCAAAAUUGCAGACUGCAAUUCAGCAAGAACUGCAAGAGGAUAAGGUCUGAGGUUUCUUCCUUUGAAAUCAAAUUAUUACAGCCUUGAAUGAAAUGAACCUCAUUGCAAGCGAGUUUGGAGACAAAGAAAAUUCCGUUUCAGCUUAAGUUGCACUUUGAUUUCCUCAAAUAAUACUACUUCCUGCUUCAUAUGUGGAUCAAAGUGAGAAAGGAAAGAUGAGGGUUGACACAAAGAUACCUAUGAAAUCUUUCAUGAAAGAAGAAAUGGAAGAAAGGAUAUAAAGAAUUAUACCAUUUAAGGUGAUUAUUAUUUUAUAACAAUU
This is a non-coding RNA of Odocoileus virginianus texanus, 896 nucleotides long. The record is from RefSeq and is a predicted model, not a curated record. Lineage: Eukaryota; Metazoa; Chordata; Mammalia; Artiodactyla; Cervidae.